AUGCUCACUUCAGCAGCACAUAUACUAAAAUUGGAACUAUACAGUGAAGAUUAGCAUGGCCCCUGCACAAGGAUGACAUGCAAAUUCGUGAAGUUCCAUAUGUGUAU
This is a small nuclear RNA of Dipodomys ordii (Ord's kangaroo rat), 107 nucleotides long. NCBI's taxonomy places the organism in Eukaryota, Metazoa, Chordata, Mammalia, Rodentia, Heteromyidae. The record is from Ensembl.